AGGUUCGUGUUAAUGACCCAAAUGCCCCCCGCCCUGUAUUUACAACUGGACUAAUUGGAAGGGACAAUUCGAUCGCAAGACAUGGGAUUCAUGGGCUCUACCGGCUGUACAAUGUGAAUAUACCAGGUGUUCGGUUAGUUGAAGGAGAGAAUACCAUCUUCUUGACACAGCCAAGAUGCACCAGCCCUUUCCAGGGUCUCAUGUAUGACUAUAUUCGUCUGGAAAGUCCUCCAUCUUCAUGAUCCAUAAAUGAAAUUUCAUGUUCAUGUAAGUAAAAUAUUUUCAAAAUGGUUCACAAAAUAAUGCGUGUGUGUAUGUAUGCCUAUGUCUGAGUUUACCUUCAUAGGACAAUAAGCCAAAAUGUGUCGAUGUACGGAUGAGCUAAAUGUGGAAUACAACUAUGCAUAUGAUAAUUUA
RNAcentral lists this unclassified non-coding RNA (417 nucleotides) under Hevea brasiliensis (rubber tree). The record is from RNAcentral. Lineage: Eukaryota; Viridiplantae; Streptophyta; Magnoliopsida; Malpighiales; Euphorbiaceae.